UACGGGGGGAGCAAGCGUUGUUCGGAAUCACUGGGCGUAAAGGGCGUCUAGGCGGUUCGGUAAGUGGGAUGUGAAAUGCCCGGGCUCACCCCGGGACCUGCAUCCCAAACUGCUGAGCUUGAGUACAGGAGAGGGUGGGGGAAUUCCAGGUGUAGCGGUGAAAUGCGUAGAUAUCUGGAGGAACACCGGUGGCGAAGGCGCCCACCUGGCCUGUUACUGACGCUGAAGCGCGAAAGCUAGGGGAGCAAACGGG
Molecule: ribosomal RNA, 253 nt
Filed under: uncultured bacterium
Lineage: Bacteria
Description: partial 16S ribosomal RNA
Rfam family: Bacterial small subunit ribosomal RNA
Source: RNAcentral